UCUGGGAGGGACUGGGUGAGCUGGGAUGAAACUGGGAGGGACUGGGGUGGAACUGGGAGGGACUGGGAGGACUGGGAUGGGACUGGGAUGGGACUGGGGUGGAAAUGGGAGUGCUGGGAUGGCACUGGGAGCACUGGGAUGGGACUGGGAUGGCACUGGGCUGUUACUGGGGGCACUGGGAUGGGACUGGGAGCACUGGGCUGGUUGAUAGUGGUUCAUACUGGAUGAUACUGGUUGAUACUGGUUGGUACUGGUUCAUACUGGUUCAUACUGGUCCCCAGCUGGGCCGGCGCAUGGCGGAGCUGCCGGUGGAACCCAUGUUGGCCAAAAUGAUCCUCGCGUCCGAGCAGUGCGUCACCACUGUCACCUAUGGGUGUCACCUAUGGGUGUCCCUAUGGCUGUCCCCAUUGUCCCCUAUGGGUGUCCCCUGUGUGUCCCCUUUGUGUCCCCUCUGGGUGUCCCCAUUGUCCCCUAUGGGUGUCUCCAUUGUCCCCUAUGGGUGUCCCCUUUGUGUCCCUUUGGGUGUCCCCAUUGUCCCCUAUUGGUGUCCCCAUCCCUAUGGGUGUCUCCUAUGGGUGUCCCCUAUGGGUGUCCCUUUUGUGUCCCCUUGGGUGUCCCCAUUGUCCCCUAUUGGUGUCCCCAUCCCUAUGGGUGUCUCCUAUGGGUG
This 667-nucleotide long non-coding RNA is filed under the name Phasianus colchicus (ring-necked pheasant). Its description in RNAcentral is "lncRNA (ENSPCLG00000017024.1)". The record is from RNAcentral. Lineage: Eukaryota; Metazoa; Chordata; Aves; Galliformes; Phasianidae.